AACGAACGCUGGCGGCAUGCCUAACACAUGCAAGUCGAACGAUCCCUUCGGAGAUGGUUGCGCACGGGUGCGUAACGCGUGGGAACCUGCCCUUAGGUUCGGAAUAACACAGAGAAAUUUGAGCUAAUACCGGAUAAUGUCUUCGGACCAAAGAUUUAUCGUCUUUGUUUGGGCCGGCGUUGUAUUAGCUAGUUGGGGGGGUAAAGGCCUACCAAGGCGACGAUACAUAGCUGGUCUGAGAGGAUCAUCGGCCACACUGGGACUGAGACACGGUGCAGACUCCUACGGGAGGCAGCAGUGGGGAAUACUGGACUAUGGGCGGAAGCAUGAUCCAGCACUGCCGCGUGAGUGAUGAAGGCCUUAGGGUUGUAAAGCUCUUUAACCCGGGAUGAUAAUGACAGUACCGAGAGAAUAAGCCCCGGCUAACUCCGUG
Molecule: ribosomal RNA, 433 nt
Filed under: uncultured bacterium
Lineage: Bacteria
Description: partial 16S ribosomal RNA
Rfam family: Bacterial small subunit ribosomal RNA
Source: RNAcentral